UUAACGCUGGCAGAGUGCAUAACACAUGCAAGUCGAGCGGGGCUGUUUGAGAUUACAUCAAGAGCAGUCUAGCGGCAGACGAGUGAGUAACUCGUGGACAAUCUGCCCUUCAAUGGCGAAUAACCAGCCGAAAGGUUGGCUAAUGCGCCGUACAUUCCCCUGAGGGCAUCUUCGGGGGAAGAUAGACCCGCAAGGGUCGUUGAAGGAGGAGUCCGCGGCCCAUCAGCUAGUUGGCGGUGUAAUAGACCACCAAGGCUACGACGGGUACCCGGCCUGAAAGGGCGGACGGGCACGAUGGCACUGAGACACGGGCCAUACUCCUACGGGAGGCAGCAGUGGGGAAUUUUGGACAAUGGGCGAAAGCCUGAUCCAGCAACUCUGCGUGAGGGACGAAGGUCUUCGGAUCGUAAACCUCUUUUGCUAGGGGCGAACACCCGCAAGGGUUUGACGGUACCUAGCGAAUAAGCCACGGCUAACUAUGU
Molecule: ribosomal RNA, 482 nt
Filed under: uncultured bacterium
Lineage: Bacteria
Description: bacterial SSU rRNA
Rfam family: Bacterial small subunit ribosomal RNA
Source: RNAcentral